RNAcentral lists this ribosomal RNA (468 nucleotides) under uncultured bacterium. RNAcentral's name for it is "partial 16S ribosomal RNA". It matches the Rfam family "Bacterial small subunit ribosomal RNA", at positions 28 to 507 of the family's 1533-position model. The record is from RNAcentral.
GACGAACGCUGGCGGCGUGCUUAACACAUGCAAGUCGAACGGAAAGGCCCUGCUUUUGUGGGGUGCUCGAGUGGCGAACGGGUGAGUAACACGUGAGUAACCUGCCCUUGACUUUGGGAUAACUUCAGGAAACUGGGCUUAUACCGGAAAGGAACCCCCGCUGCAAGGGGGGGGGUGGGAAGUUUUCGCCGUGGGGGGCUGAAUUCGCGGCUUUCCGGCUUGUUGGUGGGUGGGUGGCUUACCAAGCUUUUGGCGGGUACCCGGCCGGGGAGGGUGACCGGCCACAUUGGGACUGGGAUGCGGCCCCGACUCCUACGGGAGGCAGCAGUGGGGAAUAUUGCACAAUGGGCGGAAGCCUGAUGCAGCAACGCCGCGUGCGGGAUGACGGCCUUCGGGUUGUAAACCGCUUUCGCCUGUGACGAAGCGUGAGUGACGGUAAUGGGUAAAGAAGCACCGGCUAACUACGUG